Molecule: long non-coding RNA, 2271 nt
Organism: Equus quagga
Lineage: Eukaryota; Metazoa; Chordata; Mammalia; Perissodactyla; Equidae
Exons: 3
Source: RefSeq, a predicted model, not a curated record
UAGACAGUUCUCUACCCUUCCCCCCAAAAUGGUUCCAAUAAGAGGAUCUGAAUGCAGGGUAACUAACAAGAGGAGGCCAGGUGAAGGCCAGUACCAGGAGUGGGGGCACCAGAGACUAGCCCCUGGGCCUGAAGGGGUGGGGCAGGGAUGGAGAGGGCUGGAGGAGUGGAGAUGGGGUCACCCGGUGGGAGCUGUGAUUGUGGGGGAGGAGUGUGACUACCCCGCCGCUUUCCCCCACCCCAUCCUGUCAGCACUGUCCACUGGCCAAUCCUCAUCCUAAUCUGGAGGCCAAGGGAGCCCAGGGGAUGUGGUCACAGCCAGAGCCUAGAGCCAGGUAGACAACAAUUGGGGGGGCCAGGUGGGGACAGGGAAGCACCAACUCCAUCCCUGCCUUAGAACCUUCCACCUUGUCAGACAGGGACCCCACGUCACCCCAGCAUCUCCUCAGAUCUCCUCUUGGCCUGUCCCCACCUGAUGCCUAACCCAGGACCCGGUUUCUUCCCCUCUCUUCUCUGCAGAGGUUUUCGAAGGCACCAGGCUCGCCCCUCAACAGGACCUGCCCUCCAUGAGGUUGUCUCUGCCCAAAUCUCCCCCUCAGCUGACUGCAGUCCUCCAGAGGCCAAGCAGAGAGCUGCUACCCGUGGGCCCCUUGGUUUCCUCCCCUCUCGAAGGGUCUCCUUCCCAUGGCCCCUGGGAGCCUGUCUUUCCUCUGGUUCUGUGACAGGCAGAAUCCCCAAACCUCAUCCCGCCCAGGUCACUGAGUGAUACAGGCAUGCGGAGGCCCCACGCUCUGCCCAGUUCAGUGUCUCCCAGGUCAGUGUGAGGCUUGACCUCCCCACACCAGGUGUCCCCUCCCCUGUCCCACAGCUGUGACUUCAGGAGCAAGAUGCACUCAGGUAGACCACACACUGUUCUGUGAGAAUGAAACCCAAGCCGCUUGCUAGGAGCCCCAUAUCUGUGUUUAUUUUACAUCAAAUACACAUGAUUCCCCGCUUUUGUGACCCCACCUGACCCCGUUCCUUCCGGGUCUGCUCUCCACCGGACCCGGGUUGCAUGCUUGAGUGUGGGCCUUGCCAACGGCCUCAGACUGGCUGAGCCUCUGCAGAUGACCCUCCCCUGGGCCCGACGUUGCCUUUGUACCUACUCGGGGUAGUGCUAGGCUGUCCCAAAUGGGCCACACCUGGGCCUCUCAAGUCCUAAAGUCAGCUGGCCUUGACCCUUCCAGCCACCUAAGUGCGGAGCUCCCAGGGUCAGGGCUGGCUGCCCCAGGCACCUGUGGGCUUGGCCCCUGAUGGGUGGGCCUCCCUUCACGCGGUGCUGGAGAGCAGGGGAGCCUGGUUCAGCCUUGACUCUCCCUCUAUCCCUCCCCUUUACUCCCUCCUGCAGCCAUGUUCCAGAAAGUGCUGUGUGCUUGACUGCUUGGGUCUCGUGAAUCUCACAGUCCUGCCAAGGCCUGGCCGCUGGCCCUCCCUGGCUGCCCCUUCCCGGGGGUUCUCAGGUCCUCAGCAACAUCCCUCACUCCCUCCGUGGCCAGCAGCCUGAUCCCUGCUUUUCCUCGGUUCUCAUCGGGGAUUCUUGAUCGGGUUCUAGAGGUUGGGAAGUCCAAGAUCAAGGCGUUGGCAGAUCCAUUGUCUGAGAGAGCCUCUCCCUGCCCCAGUCUCUCCCUCGGAUUUCUGCAUCUGCCCAGGCCCUGAGUCCAUCCUUGCCUCCUGCCUGGCAGUGCAGGGCAGCCUAGGGGAAAGGGCGGACAGGAGGAGCAGAGAUGACAAGCAGAAAGAAACAGCCAGGAGUGGGGUCUGGCCUGCAGACAGACGAGGCACGAGGGGUGAGAAAGACUCCCUCCUUGACCCAACUUGUUAUCUGAACCUCAUCUCAAUUAGGCCUUGAUUUUUUGGCUUCCAUGUCUGUCUUUGCAUCACCCAGUUUUAGCAAAAAUCCCAUCAAGUCGGUUUAGCCAGAAUCUCCACCCUCGAUAUUUGAUCACCCUCCAUAUCUGAUCGAAGUCUCCCCACACCAUCCCCAGGAGAGUUCUGGUCACCCUGGCCUGCCUUCAGCAAGAAUCCAGUAGGGUCUGUUUAACCAGAGUCCCCCAAACCCUACCCCUGAUGUUUCUCUUAGUGAUUUUCCAUCCGCUGACUUCCUCCCACCUGCUCCUUGGCUGUGAAUCCGCACUCGUCCUUGCCGUAUGUGGAAUUGAGUCCAGUUCUAUUCUGAAGUCUCUUUUCCCCUAUUGCAUUAGAUCUUAAAUAAAAUCUGCUUUAGCCACUUUAA